GACGAACGCUGGCGGCGUGCUUAACACAUGCAAGUCGAACGGUGAGCCUCUUCGGAGGGGAUCAGUGGCGAACGGGUGAGUAACACGUGGGCAACCUGCCCCCGGCUCUGGGAUAACUCCAAGAAAUUGGGGCUAAUACCGGAUGUUCACCGCUUCCCGCAUGGGUGGUGGUGGAAAGGGUUUCCGGCUGGGGAUGGGCCCGCGGCCUAUCAGCUUGUUGGUGGGGUAGUGGCCUACCAAGGCGACGACGGGUAGCCGGCCUGAGAGGGUGACCGGCCACACUGGGACUGAGACACGGCCCAGACUCCUACGGGAGGCAGCAGUGGGGAAUAUUGCGCAAUGGGCGGAAGCCUGACGCAGCGACGCCGCGUGGGGGAUGACGGCCUUCGGGUUGUAAACCUCUUUCAGCAGGGACGAAGCGCAAGUGACGGUACCUGCAGAAGAAGCACCGGCCAACUACGUG
This 463-nucleotide ribosomal RNA is filed under the name uncultured bacterium. RNAcentral's name for it is "partial 16S ribosomal RNA". It matches the Rfam family "Bacterial small subunit ribosomal RNA", at positions 28 to 507 of the family's 1533-position model. The record is from RNAcentral.